AUCUCGAUGUAAAGUGAGGGAUAUGCAAUUUACAUACUAGAAGUUUAGCGAUUUUUAAAUUGCGGAGAAUAAGAAGCUUCUGGUGAAACGUUUCGCUCUCGAUUCCCCAGUUUCAUCGGAGGAGCUCUCUUAAAUAGAAUCAGAUUAAAACUCAACUAUUUGGUGCGAGUUGUAUCUCUAUUGCUCAGUCGAGAGUUUAAAACAGCUCAAGGGCCACGCUCUUAGCACAUUAGUUUCAUCAGAUUGCGACAUGCGUCGAAAUCUAACAGAAAUGAUGCACGAGGCCCUGUCUGUUUACGUUUGGAUUCAACCGAUUCAGGAUCAAGGUCACUGCAAGCCAUGCUCGAAACUGUUGUUAUAUCGACAAUUAAAUAUAAUUUUUAUUGAUAAAAUUUAUAAUGAAUCUCACUUAGUUGCAAAUGUAUAAUUGAGGAAGGAAAGUAAUCUCUGCAUUUACAACAAUUGGGUAGAAAAUAAUUUUUCUUUUAAUUCUGAUAUUAAAAAAAAAUUAAUCUGACAUAAGCCACAUUGUUUUUUU
Molecule: long non-coding RNA, 538 nt
Organism: Belonocnema kinseyi
Lineage: Eukaryota; Metazoa; Arthropoda; Insecta; Hymenoptera; Cynipidae
Exons: 3
Source: RefSeq, a predicted model, not a curated record